GGCAAAGCGAUGACGAGGAGCAGUAGGCAGUGCAACCCUGCAGAGAGCCGCCGGGAGGUGCAAGGCGGCGGGCCAUGCUGCUGAAACUCGCCUCUGAGUUGCCCGGGGGAAAUGUUAUUACUCCGGGCCGGGCGCGCCGUUAUUGCGUGAAGAGGGUAAAGAGAUGGGGCUGUGGCGCAGUGGGAGCGCGCUUCCUUGGCAUGGAAGAGGCCGCGGGUUCAAUCCCCGCCAGCUCCACCAGGAAUGUUUUUUCUUUGCCAAAAAGGGUGGUACCGCGGGAGAUAGCCUCUCGUCCCUACA
This 300-nucleotide small RNA is filed under the name Pelotomaculum thermopropionicum. Its description in RNAcentral is "T-box sequence". It matches the Rfam family "T-box leader". From Rfam's summary of the family: Uncharged tRNA acts as the effector for transcription antitermination of genes in the T-box leader family. T-boxes are found upstream of many aminoacyl-tRNA synthetase genes and some amino acid biosynthetic genes usually in Gram-positive bacteria. The record is from RNAcentral. Lineage: Bacteria; Bacillati; Bacillota; Clostridia; Eubacteriales; Desulfotomaculaceae.